UAGGGAAUCUUCCGCAAUGGACGCAAGUCUGACGGAGCAACGCCGCGUGAGUGAAGAAGGAUUUCGGUUCGUAAAACUCUGUUGUUAGAGAAGAACAGCGCAUAGAGUAACUGUUAUGCGUGUGACGGUAUCUAACCAGAAAGCCACGGCUAACUACGUGCCAGCAGCCACGGUAAUACGUAGGUGGCAAGCGUUGUCCGGAUUUAUUGGGCGUAAAGCGAGCGCAGGCGGUCAAUUAAGUCUGAUGUGAAAGCCCCCGGCUCAACCGGAGCGGGUCGUUGGAACCUGGUUGACUUGAGUGCAGAAGAGGAGAGUGGAAUUCCAUGUGUAGCGGUGAAAUGCGUAGAUAUAUGGAGGAACCCCAGUGGCGAAGGCGACUCUCUGGUCUGUAACUGACGAUGAGGCUCGAAAGCGUGGGUAGCAAACAGG
Molecule: ribosomal RNA, 429 nt
Filed under: Bacteroidota bacterium
Lineage: Bacteria; Pseudomonadati; Bacteroidota
Description: Bacteroidetes bacterium partial 16S ribosomal RNA
Rfam family: Bacterial small subunit ribosomal RNA
Source: RNAcentral